AGAACGAACGCUGGCGGCGUGCUUAACACAUGCAAGUCGAGCGGAAAGGCCUUUCGGGGUACUCGAGCGGCGAACGGGUGAGUAAACACGUGAGUAAUCUGCCCAUCGCUUCAGGAUAGCCAUCGGAAACGGUGAUUAAUACUGGAUAUGACAUUCCUUCGCAUGUUGGGGUGUGGAAAGUUUUUUCGGCGGUGGAUGUGCUCGCGGCCUAUCAGCUUGUUGGUGGGGUAAUGGCCUACCAAGGCUUUGGACGGUAGCCGGCCUGAGAGGGUGACCGGCCACACGUGGGAACUGAGACCACGGCCCAGACUCCGUACGGGAGCAGCCAGGAGGGAAUAGUGGACAAGUGGGCGGAAGUCCGUGACUCCAGACAAACCGGCCG
Molecule: ribosomal RNA, 382 nt
Filed under: uncultured soil bacterium
Lineage: Bacteria
Description: bacterial SSU rRNA
Rfam family: Bacterial small subunit ribosomal RNA
Source: RNAcentral